RNAcentral lists this ribosomal RNA (439 nucleotides) under uncultured bacterium. RNAcentral's name for it is "bacterial SSU rRNA". It matches the Rfam family "Bacterial small subunit ribosomal RNA", at positions 958 to 1397 of the family's 1533-position model. The record is from RNAcentral.
AACGCGAAGAACCUUACCUGGGCUCGAAAUGUAGUGGACUGGGGUAGAAAUAUCCCUUCCUAGCAAUAGGUCGCUCUAUAGGUGCUGCAUGGCUGUCGUCAGCUCGUGUCGUGAGAUGUUGGGUUAAGUCCCGCAACGAGCGCAACCCUUAUUACCAGUUGCCAUCAUUCAGUUGGGCACUCCGGUGAGACCGCCUCGGAUAACGGGGAGGAAGGCGGGGAUGACGUCAAGUCCUCAUGGCCUUUAUGUCCAGGGCUACACACGUGCUACAAUGGCCGGUACAAACCGUCGCAAACCCGCGAGGGGGAGCUAAUCGGAAAAAGCCGGCCUCAGUUCGGAUCGCAGUCUGCAACUCGACUGCGUGAAGCUGGAAUCGCUAGUAAUCGCGGAUCAGAAUGCCGCGGUGAAUACGUUCCCGGGCCUUGUACACACCGAUAGC